CUGUUUCAUGAGCUAAAAUAUAAUACAAAAUAUAGAUCAAAAGGGCUUUUCAAUGUUAAAGUCAAACAUCCGCUAAAUCCGCAGUAUGGAUGAGAUGCAGUCUGUGCAGAGGGAGUG
Thalassophryne amazonica is the source of this 117-nucleotide long non-coding RNA. RefSeq lists it as uncharacterized. NCBI's taxonomy places the organism in Eukaryota, Metazoa, Chordata, Actinopteri, Batrachoidiformes, Batrachoididae. The transcript has 3 exons. The record is from RefSeq and is a predicted model, not a curated record.